AAACAGGAUCCCCUAGUAACUGCGAAUGAACAGGGAUUAGCCCAGCACCGAAACCUGUGGUUAUUUGACUGCAAGGCAAUGUGGUGUUUAGGUUUGUUCUUGGCAUUACUGCUCUGCCCCAAGUCCAGCAAUGAGUACGGCAUACCGUUCUGGCCCAUAGAGGGUGAAAGGCCCGUGGGGGUAGAGACCAAGCAUGACAGUUUUGUCCAGAGCUUACCUUGGAGUCGGGUUGUUUGAGAAUGCAGCCCAAAGUGGGUGGUAAACUCCAUCCAAGGCUAAAUACUUGCACGAGUCCGAUAGUAAACAAGUACCGUGAGGGAAAGUUGAAAAGUACUUUGAAGAGAGAGUAAACAGUGCGUGAAACCGCUCAGAGGUAAACGGGUGGAGUUGAACUGCGAUCCUUGGGAAUUCAGCUGAUGAGCAUGAUUUGUGCUUGGGCAUAUUGACCGCCUUUCAGUGUCUGCUUAGCUGCGGGUGCCUGCCUCUGGUGGGUAUGUGUGGUGCGCUUAUCAUGUGCCGCACGCAUUGGAGGGUGUAUGAGUCUGCUUGUCGGUGCACUUUCUCAGGGUGUUCACCACGACCGGCACUGCUGUCUGUCUGCUUUGGUCAAACUGAUCAAGUCUGAUUAACGUUGAGCUUGGUUGGGUUGGCAGGUGACUCACUGGUCCAUUCUGUGGGCUAUGAGUGUUACUAGCCGGCCUUAGUGGAUCUGUACGGUGUGUCGGAGACGGCGGCUUUGCAUAUGCGCUCUGUUCUUCAGGCGUGGUUGAGUCUGGUCGACUUGUUGCUAGUUUCGGCUGGUCAGUUGAUGGCUUGAUCAUGUUCAGUUGGCAGUGGUGUGUGUGUCUUAGUUUGGGCCAAUAGUCUGUGGUGUUGUGGUAGACUAUCCACCUGACCCGUCUUGAAACACGGACCAAGGAGUUUAACAUGUGCGCGAGUCAUUGGGCUUUACGAAACCCAAAGGCGCAGUGAAGGUAAAGGUUUGGCUUGUCCAGGCUGAGGUGAGAUCCUGUUGUUUUGCUCAUUUAUUCCAAGCUGCGAGCAGCAGGCGCAUCACCGGCCCGUCCCAUGACGUAGACAUGUGGCCUUGUGCUAUGUGCACCGUCGGGGCGGAGCAAGAGCGUACAUGUUGAGACCCGAAAGAUGGUGAACUAUGCUUGCGAAGGUUGAAGCCAGAGGAAACUCUGGUGGAGGACCGUAGCGAUUCUGACGUGCAAAUCGAUCGUAUAACGGAGUAUAGGGGCGAAAGACU
This 1252-nucleotide ribosomal RNA is filed under the name Trichobilharzia franki. RNAcentral's name for it is "eukaryotic LSU rRNA". It matches the Rfam family "Eukaryotic large subunit ribosomal RNA", at positions 67 to 932 of the family's 3401-position model. The record is from RNAcentral. Lineage: Eukaryota; Metazoa; Platyhelminthes; Trematoda; Strigeidida; Schistosomatidae.